This 677-nucleotide ribosomal RNA is filed under the name Puniceicoccales bacterium. RNAcentral's name for it is "partial 23S ribosomal RNA". It matches the Rfam family "Bacterial large subunit ribosomal RNA", at positions 2254 to 2925 of the family's 2925-position model. Lineage: Bacteria; Pseudomonadati; Verrucomicrobiota; Opitutia; Puniceicoccales. The record is from RNAcentral.
GUGCUAGGGGGUCAGUUUGACUGGGGCGGUCUCCUCCCAAAGAAUAACGGAGGAUUACGAAGGUUUCCUCAUAUCGGUUGGCAAUCGAUAGUUGAGCACAUGAGUAGAAGGAAGCUUUACUGUGAGACCUACAAGUCGAGCAGUUGCGAAAGCAGGUUCAAGUGAUCCGGUGGUUGGAAAUGGAACUGCCAUCGCUUAAAGGAUAAAAGGUACCCUAGGGAUAACAGGCUGAUAGCGCCCAAGCGUUCAUAGCGACGGCGCUGUUUGGCACCUCGAUGUCGGCCCGUCACAUCCUGGGGCUGGAGAAGGUCCCAAGGGUUCGGCUGUUCGCCGAUUAAAGUGGCACGCGAGCUGGGUUCAAAACGUCGUGAGACAGUUUGGUUCUCUAUCCGCUGUGGGCGUUGGAAAUUUGAGGGGUUCAUUUCCUAGUACGAGAGGACCGGAAAUGACGAACCGCUGGUGUUCCAGUUAUUGCGUCAGCAGUAGCGCUGGGUAGCUAAGUUCGGACGAGAUAAGCGCUGAAAGCAUCUAAGCGCCAAGCUCUUCCCAAGAUAAGAUUUCCUUGAGGACUUGAUCCUCGAAAGAGUCCUGAUAGACCAUCAGGUUGAUAGGUCGCAUGUGUAAGCGCCGUAAGGUGUUGAGCUAAGCGAUACUAAUGACUCGAAAAUUUUUUCUUU